RNAcentral lists this ribosomal RNA (442 nucleotides) under uncultured bacterium. RNAcentral describes it as "partial 16S ribosomal RNA". It matches the Rfam family "Bacterial small subunit ribosomal RNA", at positions 338 to 795 of the family's 1533-position model. The record is from RNAcentral.
CCUACGGGGGGCAGCAGUGGGGAAUAUUGGGCAAUGGGCGCAAGCCUGACCCAGCAACGCCGCGUGAAGGAAGAAGGCUUUCGGGUUGGAAACUUCUUUUAAGAGGGAAGAGCAGAAGACGGUACCUCUUGAAUAAGCCACGGCUAACGACGUGCCAGCAGCCGCGGUAAUACGUAGGUGGCAAGCGUUGUCCGGAUUUACUGGGUGUAAAGGGCGUGCAGCCGGGAAGACAAGUCAGAUGUGAAAUCCCGCGGCUCAACCGCGGAACUGCAUUUGAAACUGUGUUUCUUGAGUACAGGAGAGGUAAGCGGAAUUCCUAGUGUAGCGGUGAAAUGCGUAGAUAUUAGGAGGAACACCAGUGGCGAAGGCGGCUUACUGGACUGUAACUGACGUUGAGGCUCGAAAGCGUGGGGAGCAAACAGGAUUAGAUACCCCAGUAGUC